Molecule: ribosomal RNA, 432 nt
Filed under: uncultured bacterium
Lineage: Bacteria
Description: bacterial SSU rRNA
Rfam family: Bacterial small subunit ribosomal RNA
Source: RNAcentral
GGACCCGCACAAGCGGUGGAGCAUGUGGUUUAAUUCGAUGCAACGCGAAAAACCUUACCUACUCUUGACAUACUUGGAAGCUCUUGUAAUGAGAGUGUGCCUUUUGGAACCAAGAUACAGGUGCUGCAUGGCUGUCGUCAGCUCGUGUCGUGAGAUGUUCCGUUAAGUCGGAUAACGAGCGCAACCCUUACCCUUAUUUGCCAGCGAUUCGGUCGGGAACUAUAAGGGGACUGCCGGUGAUAAACCGGAGGAAGGUGAGGACGACGUCAAGUCAUCAUGGCCCUUACGAGUAGGGCUACACACGUGCUACAAUGGGGAAUACAGACGGACGCUAAGCCGCGAGGUGGUGCUAAUCCUAGAAAGUAUGUCGUAGUCCGGAUUGGAGUCUGCAACUCGACUCCAUGAAGUCGGAAUCGCUAGUAAUCGUGGAUC